RNAcentral lists this ribosomal RNA (304 nucleotides) under uncultured bacterium. Its description in RNAcentral is "partial 16S ribosomal RNA". It matches the Rfam family "Bacterial small subunit ribosomal RNA", at positions 506 to 807 of the family's 1533-position model. The record is from RNAcentral.
CAGCAGCCGCCGCGGUAACACGGAGGGUGCAAGCGUUAUCCGGAUUUAUUGGGUUUAAAGGGUCCGUAGGCGGAUCUGUAAGUCAGUGGUGAAAUCUCACAGCUUAACUGUGAAACUGCCAUUGAUACUGCAGGUCUUGAGUAAAUUUGAAGUGGCUGGAAUAAGUAGUGUAGCGGUGAAAUGCAUAGAUAUUACUUAGAACACCAAUUGCGAAGGCAGGUCACUAAGAUUUAACUGACGCUGAUGGACGAAAGCGUGGGGAGCGAACAGGAUUAGAUACCCCCGUAGUCCCUGUCUCUUAUAC